UUAGGCCGUUACCUACAACUGAUGAGCUCUGAGAAGAGCGACACCAAUUAGGUCCUGUAGUAGUGGCCUAGUAAACA
Molecule: non-coding RNA, 77 nt
Filed under: Buceros rhinoceros silvestris
Lineage: Eukaryota; Metazoa; Chordata; Aves; Bucerotiformes; Bucerotidae
Source: RNAcentral